GUUACGUUACAUUUUAACAUAGGACCCCUUAUUUGAUAGCAGUUUCACAAGUCUUGCAUCCAUUGAACUUGUGAGUUUUUGGACAGUUUCUGCUUGAAUUUGUUUGCAAAAGACAUGUGAAAGACAUGAAGAAGACUUCCACCAGGAUUGGAAUACGUCUGCAGAAGAGCCAGGACAGGUAAUUACACGUGAUAGCGAAAAAGAGUGCAGUGAAAUACGCCAGGCUCUGAUGCGGCACCUCAACAUUUAAUUUCUUACCCUGAUUUUAUUAACGUUUUAUUACGGUUUUAUUAAAGUUUUACAUUUAAUCAGACACACGUAAAG
Molecule: non-coding RNA, 324 nt
Organism: Pelobates cultripes (western spadefoot toad)
Lineage: Eukaryota; Metazoa; Chordata; Amphibia; Anura; Pelobatidae
Source: the annotation of a GenBank genome assembly